CAAUAGCGUAUUUUAAAGUUGUUGCGGUUAAAACGUUCGUAGUCGUAUUUCUGCUUCGGGUGUUUCCUUUCCAAAGGGGACAUUCGAGAAUUAGUGUGGGCGGUUUUCGUCACUUAACUGCGCCGAUGCAUAAACCCGCACUGAUUAUUUUGAGGAAAUUAGAGUGUUUAAAACAAGCAAAGUAUGAAUAUAAUAGCAUGGGACAAUGUAGGAAACGGGGACGAGAUUAGCGUGGUCUUUUGGCUCGGCCUAAAUUUUACAAAAGGAGCAGUUUGGGGGUAGUUCGUAUUGAGCUGCUAGAGGUGAAAUUCUUGGUAUUUUUUUAAGUACGAACAAAUGACAAAAGACAUUUACCAAGGAUUGUUUUCUAUUGAUCAAGAACGAUAGUUAGGAGAUCGAAGACGAUUAGAUACCGU
Molecule: ribosomal RNA, 416 nt
Filed under: uncultured eukaryote
Lineage: Eukaryota
Description: bacterial SSU rRNA
Rfam family: Eukaryotic small subunit ribosomal RNA
Source: RNAcentral